CCUACGGGUGGCCGUAAGAGGGUACCUGGAGAAAAAGCAUCGGCUAACUCCGUGCCAACAGCCGCGGUAAUACGGAGGAUGCGAGCGUUAUCCGGAUUUAUUGGGUUUAAAGGGUGCGCAGGCGGCGUGUCAAGUCAGCGGUAAAAUGUCGGGGCUCAACCCCGGCCGGCCGUUGAAACUGGCGUGCUCGAGUUGGAGAGAAGUAUGCGGAAUGCGCAGUGUAGCGGUGAAAUGCUUAGAUAUUGCGCAGAACUCCGAUUGCGAAGGCAGCAUACCGGCGGCGAUCUGACGCUGAGGCACGAAAGCGUGGGUAUCGAACAGGAUUAGAUACCCCGGUAGUC
This 341-nucleotide ribosomal RNA is filed under the name uncultured bacterium. RNAcentral describes it as "partial 16S ribosomal RNA". It matches the Rfam family "Bacterial small subunit ribosomal RNA", at positions 449 to 795 of the family's 1533-position model. The record is from RNAcentral.